CUUGCCAAGCCGUUACAGCAUUUUAUAUUUAAGAAAUCCUGUACAGGUUUUGCAAUAA
Molecule: microRNA precursor, 58 nt
Filed under: Tribolium castaneum (red flour beetle)
Lineage: Eukaryota; Metazoa; Arthropoda; Insecta; Coleoptera; Tenebrionidae
Description: Tca-Mir-3820_pre stem-loop
Source: RNAcentral